Molecule: ribosomal RNA, 484 nt
Filed under: uncultured bacterium
Lineage: Bacteria
Description: partial 16S ribosomal RNA
Rfam family: Bacterial small subunit ribosomal RNA
Source: RNAcentral
AUUGAACGCUGGCGGCAGGCCUAACACAUGCAAGUCGAGCGGAUGAAGGGAGCUUGCUCCUGGAUUCAGCGGCGGACGGGUGAGUAAUGCCUAGGAAUCUGCCUGGUAGUGGGGGAUAACGUCCGGAAACGGGCGCUAAUACCGCAUACGUCCUGAGGGAGAAAGUGGGGGAUCUUCGGACCUCACGCUAUCAGAUGAGCCUAGGUCGGAUUAGCUAGUUGGUGGGGUAAAGGCCUACCAAGGCGACGAUCCGUAACUGGUCUGAGAGGAUGAUCAGCCACACUGGAACUGAGACACGGUCCAGACUCCUACGGGAGGCAGCAGUGGGGAAUAUUGGACAAUGGGCGAAAGCCUGAUCCAGCCAUGCCGCGUGUGUGAAGAAGGUCUUCGGAUUGUAAAGCACUUUAAGUGGGGAGGAAGAGCAGUAAGUUAAUACCUUGCUGUUUUGACGUUACCAAAAGAAUAAGCACCGGCUAACUUCGUG